Molecule: ribosomal RNA, 253 nt
Filed under: uncultured bacterium
Lineage: Bacteria
Description: partial 16S ribosomal RNA
Rfam family: Bacterial small subunit ribosomal RNA
Source: RNAcentral
UACGUAGGGUGCAAGCGUUGUCCGGAAUUAUUGGGCGUAAAGAGCUCGUAGGCGGUUUGUCGCGUCUGCUGUGAAAACUCGGGGCUCAACUCCGAGCUUGCAGUCGAUACGGGCAGGCUAGAGUUUGGUAGGGGAGACUGGAAUUCCUGGUGUAGCGGUGAAAUGCGCAGAUAUCAGGAGGAACACCGGUGGCGAAGGCGGCGACCUGGACAGAUACUGACACUAAACUACGAAAGCAUGGGGAGCAAACAGG